RNAcentral lists this ribosomal RNA (484 nucleotides) under uncultured bacterium. Its description in RNAcentral is "partial 16S ribosomal RNA". It matches the Rfam family "Bacterial small subunit ribosomal RNA", at positions 30 to 507 of the family's 1533-position model. The record is from RNAcentral.
AUUGAACGCUGGCGGCAGGCCUAACACAUGCAAGUCGAGCGGAUGAAGGGAGCUUGCUCCUGGAUUCAGCGGCGGACGGGUGAGUAAUGCCUAGGAAUCUGCCUGGUAGUGGGGGAUAACGUCCGGAAACGGGCGCUAAUACCGCAUACGUCCUGAGGGAGAAAGUGGGGGAUCUUCGGACCUCACGCUAUCAGAUGAGCCUAGGUCGGAUUAGCUAGUUGGUGGGGUAAAGGCCUACCAAGGCGACGAUCCGUAACUGGUCUGAGAGGAUGAUCAGUCACACUGGAACUGAGACACGGUCCAGACUCCUACGGGAGGCAGCAGUGGGGAAUCUUGGACAAUGGGCGAAAGCCUGAUCCAGCCAUGCCGCGUGUGUGAAGAAGGUCUUCGGAUUGUAAAGCACUUUAAGUUGGGAGGAAGGGCAGUAAGUUAAUACCUUGCUGUUUUGACGUUACCAGCAGAAUAAGCCCCGGCUAACUUCGUG